This 460-nucleotide ribosomal RNA is filed under the name uncultured bacterium. Its description in RNAcentral is "partial 16S ribosomal RNA". It matches the Rfam family "Bacterial small subunit ribosomal RNA", at positions 338 to 795 of the family's 1533-position model. The record is from RNAcentral.
CCUACGGGAGGCAGCAGUGAGGAAUAUUGGUCAAUGGGCGUAAGCCUGAACCAGCCAAGUCGCGUGAGGGAUGAAGGUUCUAUGGAUCGUAAACCUCUUUUAUAAGGGAAUAAAGUGUGGGACGUGUCCUGUUUUGUAUGUACCUUAUGAAUAAGGAUCGGCUAACUCCGUGCCAGCAGCCGCGGUAAUACGGAGGAUCCGAGCGUUAUCCGGAUUUAUUGGGGUUAAAGGGUGCGUAGGCGGCCUUUUAAGUCAGCGGUGAAAGUCUGUGGCUCAACCAUAGAAUUGACGUUGAAACUGGGAGGCUUGAGUAUGUUUGAGGCAGGCGGAAGGCGUGGUGUAGCGGUGAAAUGCUUAGAUAUCACGCAGAACCCCGAUUGCGAAGGCAGCCUGCCAAGCCAUGACUGACGCUGAUGCACGAAAGCGUGGGGAUCAAACAGGAUUAGAUACCCCAGUAGUC